GCGGGUGUAGUUCAGUUGGUAGAACGUCAGCUUCCCAAGCUGAAUAUCGCGGGUUCGAGUCCCGUCACCCGCUCCA
This 76-nucleotide transfer RNA is filed under the name Candidatus Omnitrophota bacterium. Its description in RNAcentral is "tRNA-Gly". It matches the Rfam family "tRNA". From Rfam's summary of the family: Transfer RNA (tRNA) molecules are approximately 80 nucleotides in length. The record is from RNAcentral. Lineage: Bacteria; Pseudomonadati; Candidatus Omnitrophota.